UCGAACCAAUCCAUAAAGGAAAAUAGUUGUCUCAACAAUUAAAGUAAAUAAAUAAAUCAUAAUUCAUAUUUUAUCAGUAGGCGGUGGCAUGCUAAACAUUGUUGCUGGUUCAGCUUGUUGUGGAAACAUGCUGACUUGACUCCAUACGAACUUAUGCAUUAGUGUCUCAAAUUGAAAAAUCUUGACACGCAUAUCCAAUAAUUUUUGCCCUUGCUUUUGUAUUUUCUCUCGAAGGGCUAUUAAUUUAGUAUCAACCGAUGUCAAAUAAGCAGAGUGGCUUGAGAUAGGUUUUGGAUAUGUCCAAGUCCUUUAAUGUAACCUCUAGAUUUUUCCAAAACUUCUUGCAUAAUCUCAAGUUCAGUGGGGGGCUCAGAUUUCUCUAGAAUAGAUUGCUCAUUAAUUUGAAGCAUCCUUUCCUAUAUAUAAGUAAAGAAAAAGAAGAGAGAAUACAUGUUAAAGACAGAAUAUAUAUAAAAUGUCAAUAACAACGAAUAAAUUGUUAAUAUACUUACAUAUCUUUUUCGUAUUUCAUCAUUUACCCACCAUUUCUUCUCACUGUAACUAGUCUCAUAAUAAAGUUCUAUUUCUCCUUGUGCAUUGUCUUUAGUAAUUGAUCUCGAUUUGAAAUAAUAUAUAUCAAGUUACACAAAUAUAGGCUUCAUAAAACAAAAGAAAGUAUUACCUUUUCUUGAGGACGUGCAACAAAUGAUUUUGACCCACCACAAUGAUUAUAUUUAAUGCAGUUGUGACUUGCUAGAUUACGUGUAGAUAGUGCAUGUAAUUAAUUUAUAUGUAAAUAUAAUUAACUCAUUAUAAUUUAUUAUUUUUAAUUAUAUUAAUUAUUUUAAGAUAAUAUCUAAAUUAUAUUAUUCUUAAUAUUUACAAGUAUAUGCAUUUUAAUUAAAGUUACCUGAAAUUAAGGGAUAGAUCAAUAUUGACACAACCAGUCCCAAUCAACUUGCUUUAUGUCAGUCGGGCAGUUCUUCAUUGCGUCAUCUAAUGUUUUUCCAUUGAAAUAUUUCUCUUUGAGUCUACAUCUAUAAUCACGAUAUCUUCUUGCUAAAGUAUUGUUCACACAUUUAUGGACAUGUUCAACUGUCAAAUCAAGCUUGAAUUUU
This 1118-nucleotide long non-coding RNA is filed under the name Olea europaea (common olive). Its description in RNAcentral is "long non-coding RNA (OEUR_LNC010905)". The record is from RNAcentral. Lineage: Eukaryota; Viridiplantae; Streptophyta; Magnoliopsida; Lamiales; Oleaceae.